UGCGUAGGCGGCUUUUUAAGUCGGAUGUGAAAUCCCUGAGCUUAACUUAGGAAUUGCAUUCGAUACUGGGAAGCUAGAGUAUGGGAGAGGAUGGUAGAAUUCCAGGUGUAGCGGUGAAAUGCGUAGAGAUCUGGAGGAAUACCGAUGGCGAAGGCAGCCAUCUGGCCUAAUACUGACGCUGAGGUACGAAAGCAUGGGGAGCAAACAG
This 208-nucleotide ribosomal RNA is filed under the name uncultured Acinetobacter sp. Its description in RNAcentral is "partial 16S ribosomal RNA". It matches the Rfam family "Bacterial small subunit ribosomal RNA", at positions 568 to 775 of the family's 1533-position model. The record is from RNAcentral. Lineage: Bacteria; Pseudomonadati; Pseudomonadota; Gammaproteobacteria; Moraxellales; Moraxellaceae.